RNAcentral lists this ribosomal RNA (481 nucleotides) under uncultured bacterium. RNAcentral's name for it is "bacterial SSU rRNA". It matches the Rfam family "Bacterial small subunit ribosomal RNA", at positions 8 to 507 of the family's 1533-position model. The record is from RNAcentral.
AGAGUUUGAUCAUGGCUCAGGAUGAACGCUGGCGGCGUGCUUAACACAUGCAAGUCGAACGGUAAGGCCCUUCGGGGUACACGAGUGGCGAACGGGUGAGUAACACGUGGGUGAUCUGCCCUGCACUUCGGGAUAAGCCUGGGAAACUGGGUCUAAUACCGGAUAGGACCAUGGACUUCACGGUUUGUGGUGGAAAGCUUUUGCGGUGUGGGAUGGGCCCGCGGCCUAUCAGCUUGUUGGUGGGUAAUGGCCUACCAAGGCGACGACGGGUAGCCGGCCUGAGAGGGUGUCCGGCCACACUGGGACUGAGAUACGGCCCAGACUCCUACGGGAGGCAGCAGUGGGGAAUAUUGCACAAUGGGCGCAAGCCUGAUGCAGCGACGCCGCGUGAGGGAUGACGGCCUUCGGGUUGUAAACCUCUUUCAAUAGGGACGAAGCGCAAGUGACGGUACCUAUAGAAGAAGCACCGGCCAACUACGUG